This 419-nucleotide ribosomal RNA is filed under the name bacterium. RNAcentral's name for it is "partial 16S ribosomal RNA". It matches the Rfam family "Bacterial small subunit ribosomal RNA", at positions 355 to 776 of the family's 1533-position model. The record is from RNAcentral.
UGGGGUAUAUUGCACAAUGGGCGAAAGCCUGAUGCAGCGACGCCGCGUGGGGGAUGAAGGCCUUCGGGUUGUAAACUUCUUUUGCUCUGAACAAGUCAUGCUAAUGGGUGUGUUGAGUGUAGGGGUUGAUUAGCGCCGGCUAACUACGUGCCAGCAGCCGCGGUAAUACGUAGGGCGCGAGCGUUGUCCGGAAUUAUUGGGCGUAAAGGGCUUGUAGGUGGCUGGUUGCGUCUGUCGUGAAAGAUAAUGGCUUAACUGUGGGUUUGCGGUGGGUACGGGCUGGCUUGAGUGCAGUAGGGGAGGCGGGAAUUCCUGGUGUAGCGGUGGAAUGCGCAGAUAUCAGGAGGAAUACCGGUGGCGAAGGCGGGUCUCUGGGCUGUUACUGACACUGAGGAACGAAAGCAUGGGGAGCGAGCAGG